ACCAAUUUUUCAAGACGUUUCGGCCAUUGGCCUUCUUCAGUUUUUUAUUUUUCCUCUCAACUACAUGGCUGACAUUGCAUUUGUAUUUUUCAAAGAAUGUUAGCCAUGUAGUUGAGAGGAAAAAUAAAGAACUGAAGAAGGCCAAGGGCCGAAACGUCUUGAAAAAUUGGU
Molecule: small RNA, 171 nt
Filed under: Mytilus galloprovincialis (Mediterranean mussel)
Lineage: Eukaryota; Metazoa; Mollusca; Bivalvia; Mytilida; Mytilidae
Source: RNAcentral